This 27-nucleotide transfer RNA is filed under the name Cyrtocarenum cunicularium. RNAcentral describes it as "partial tRNA-Leu". The record is from RNAcentral. Lineage: Eukaryota; Metazoa; Arthropoda; Arachnida; Araneae; Ctenizidae.
AAAUGCAUUAGAAUUAGAAUCUAAACA